GAGGGUGUAGCUCAGGGGCAGAGCCCGUGCCUUGCGUACAUGAGGUCCUGGGUUCCAUUCCCAGCACUGCCC
This 72-nucleotide transfer RNA is filed under the name Camelus bactrianus (Bactrian camel). It matches the Rfam family "tRNA". Rfam says of the family: Transfer RNA (tRNA) molecules are approximately 80 nucleotides in length. Lineage: Eukaryota; Metazoa; Chordata; Mammalia; Artiodactyla; Camelidae. RNAcentral also lists the same sequence under 2 other names. The record is from Rfam by way of RNAcentral.